AAAAGGUCGCCAUGGGGCUACUACAAGCUUCUAACUUGUAUAAGAGCAGUUCGAAUCUGCUCAUCCUUUU
Molecule: transfer RNA, 70 nt
Filed under: Sipunculus nudus (marine worm)
Lineage: Eukaryota; Metazoa; Annelida; Sipuncula; Golfingiida; Sipunculidae
Description: tRNA-Ser
Source: RNAcentral